RNAcentral lists this ribosomal RNA (152 nucleotides) under uncultured Bacillus sp. Its description in RNAcentral is "partial 16S ribosomal RNA". It matches the Rfam family "Bacterial small subunit ribosomal RNA", at positions 334 to 478 of the family's 1533-position model. Lineage: Bacteria; Bacillati; Bacillota; Bacilli; Caryophanales; Bacillaceae. The record is from RNAcentral.
GGGGCCUACGGGAGGCAGCAGUAGGGAAUCUUCCACAAUGGACGAAAGUCUGAUGGAGCAACGCCGCGUGAGCGAUGAAGGCCUUCGGGUCGUAAAGCUCUGUUGUCAGGGAAGAACAAGUAUCGGAAUAACUGCCGGUACCUUGACGGUAC